UUGCCUAUAGCUCAGCUGGUUAGAGCGCACGCCUGAUAAGCGUGAGGUCGGUGGUUCGAGUCCACUUAGGCCCACCA
Molecule: transfer RNA, 77 nt
Filed under: Staphylococcus aureus
Lineage: Bacteria; Bacillati; Bacillota; Bacilli; Caryophanales; Staphylococcaceae
Description: tRNA-Ile(gat)
Rfam family: tRNA (bases 3-71)
About the family: Transfer RNA (tRNA) molecules are approximately 80 nucleotides in length. Their secondary structure includes four short double-helical elements and three loops (D, anti-codon, and T loops).
Source: RNAcentral